Molecule: ribosomal RNA, 484 nt
Filed under: uncultured bacterium
Lineage: Bacteria
Description: partial 16S ribosomal RNA
Rfam family: Bacterial small subunit ribosomal RNA
Source: RNAcentral
AUUGAACGCUGGCGGCAGGCCUAACACAUGCAAGUCGAGCGGAUGAAGGGAGCUUGCUCCUGGAUUCAGCGGCGGACGGGUGAGUAAUGCCUAUGAAUCUGCCUGGUAGUGGGGGAUAACGUCCUGAAACGGGCGCUAAUACCGCAUACGUCCUGAGGGAGAAAGUGGGGGAUCUUCGGACCUCACGCUAUCAGAUGAGCCUAGGUCGGAUUAGCUAGUUGGUGGGGUAAAGGCCUACCAAGGCGACGAUCCGUAACUGGUCUGAGAGGAUGAUCAGUCACACUGGAACUGAGACACGGUCCAGAGUACUACGGGAGGCAGCAGUGGGGAAUAUUGGACAAUGGGCGAAAGCCUGAUCCAGCCACGCCGCGUGUGUGAAGAAGGUCUUCGGAUUGUAAAGCACUUUAAGUUGGGAGGAAGGGCAGUAAGUUAAUACCUUGCUGUUUUGACGUUACCAACAGAAUAAGCACCGGCUAACUUCGUG